Podarcis lilfordi (Lilford's wall lizard) is the source of this 76-nucleotide non-coding RNA. NCBI's taxonomy places the organism in Eukaryota, Metazoa, Chordata, Lepidosauria, Squamata, Lacertidae. The record is from the annotation of a GenBank genome assembly.
AUCUCUGGAUAGCUCAGUUGGUUAGAGCCUAGUGCUGAUAACACCAAGGUUGUGGGUUUGAUCCCCGUAUGGGACA